RNAcentral lists this ribosomal RNA (521 nucleotides) under Klebsiella terrigena. RNAcentral's name for it is "bacterial SSU rRNA". It matches the Rfam family "Bacterial small subunit ribosomal RNA", at positions 73 to 594 of the family's 1533-position model. The record is from RNAcentral. Lineage: Bacteria; Pseudomonadati; Pseudomonadota; Gammaproteobacteria; Enterobacterales; Enterobacteriaceae.
UUGCUCUUUGGGUGACGAGCGGCGGACGGGUGAGUAAUGUCUGGGAAACUGCCUGAUGGAGGGGGAUAACUACUGGAAACGGUAGCUAAUACCGCAUAACGUCGCAAGACCAAAGUGGGGGACCUUCGGGCCUCAUGCCAUCAGAUGUGCCCAGAUGGGAUUAGCUAGUAGGUGAGGUAAUGGCUCACCUAGGCGACGAUCCCUAGCUGGUCUGAGAGGAUGACCAGCCACACUGGAACUGAGACACGGUCCAGACUCCUACGGGAGGCAGCAGUGGGGAAUAUUGCACAAUGGGCGCAAGCCUGAUGCAGCCAUGCCGCGUGUAUGAAGAAGGCCUUCGGGUUGUAAAGUACUUUCAGCGAGGAGGAAGGCGUUAAGGUUAAUAACCUUGUCGAUUGACGUUACUCGCAGAAGAAGCACCGGCUAACUCCGUGCCAGCAGCCGCGGUAAUACGGAGGGUGCAAGCGUUAAUCGGAAUUACUGGGCGUAAAGCGCACGCAGGCGGUCUGUCAAGUCGGAUG